This 74-nucleotide transfer RNA is filed under the name Pallavicinia lyellii. RNAcentral describes it as "tRNA-Pro". It matches the Rfam family "tRNA". From Rfam's summary of the family: Transfer RNA (tRNA) molecules are approximately 80 nucleotides in length. Their secondary structure includes four short double-helical elements and three loops (D, anti-codon, and T loops). Lineage: Eukaryota; Viridiplantae; Streptophyta; Jungermanniopsida; Pallaviciniales; Pallaviciniaceae. RNAcentral also lists the same sequence under 3 other names. The record is from RNAcentral.
CAAGGUGUAGCGCAAUCUGGUAGCGCGUCUGCCUUGGGCGCAGGAAGUUACAGGUUCAAAUCCUGUCACCUUGA